This 207-nucleotide ribosomal RNA is filed under the name uncultured bacterium. RNAcentral describes it as "partial 16S ribosomal RNA". It matches the Rfam family "Bacterial small subunit ribosomal RNA", at positions 568 to 774 of the family's 1533-position model. The record is from RNAcentral.
CACGUAGGCGGAUCGGAAAGUUGGGGGUGAAAUCCCGGGGCUCAACCCCGGAACUGCCUUCAAAACUAUCGGUCUGGAGUUCGAGAGAGGUGAGUGGAAUUCCGAGUGUAGAGGUGAAAUUCGUAGAUAUUCGGAGGAACACCAGUGGCGAAGGCGGCUCACUGGCCCGCAACUGACGCUGAGGCGCGAAAGCGUGGGGAGCAAACG